AAUGCAGUCGAGCGGAUGAGAAGAGCUUGCUCUUCGAUUCAGCGGCGGACGGGUGAGUAAUGCCUAGGAAUCUGCCUGGUAGUGGGGGACAACGUUUCGAAAGGAACGCUAAUACCGCAUACGUCCUACGGGAGAAAGCAGGGGACCUUCGGGCCUUGCGCUAUCAGAUGAGCCUAGGUCGGAUUAGCUAGUUGGUGAGGUAAUGGCUCACCAAGGCGACGAUCCGUAACUGGUCUGAGAGGAUGAUCAGUCACACUGGAACUGAGACACGGUCCAGACUCCUACGGGAGGCAGCAGUGGGGAAUAUUGGACAAUGGGCGAAAGCCUGAUCCAGCCAUGCCGCGUGUGUGAAGAAGGUCUUCGGAUUGUAAAGCACUUUAAGUUGGGAGGAAGGGCAUUAACCUAAUACGUUAGUGUUUUGACGUUACCGACAGAAUAACCACCGGCUAACUCUGUGCCAGCAGCCGCGGUAAUACAGAGGGUGCAAGCGUUAAUCGGAAUUACUGGGCGUAAAGCGCGCGUAGGUGGUUCGUUAAGUUGAAUGUGAAAUCCCCGGGCUCAACCUGGGAACUGCAUCCCAAAU
This 583-nucleotide ribosomal RNA is filed under the name Pseudomonas sp. AR1(2). RNAcentral's name for it is "bacterial SSU rRNA". It matches the Rfam family "Bacterial small subunit ribosomal RNA", at positions 54 to 633 of the family's 1533-position model. Lineage: Bacteria; Pseudomonadati; Pseudomonadota; Gammaproteobacteria; Pseudomonadales; Pseudomonadaceae. The record is from RNAcentral.